Cinara cedri is the source of this 293-nucleotide non-coding RNA. The record is from the annotation of a GenBank genome assembly. Lineage: Eukaryota; Metazoa; Arthropoda; Insecta; Hemiptera; Aphididae.
AUUUGUGUUUAUAGAUCACGACGAAUCAACGAAGGAACAUUGAUUUGUAUACAGCAGAAUAGUUUGAUUUAAUUCAGAUUCUAACCUUACGGAAUGUAUAUUGUCUUUUCUUCGGUAGAGUCGAAACGACCAUAAACUUUAUUAUGCACCUAAAAAUGCUACGUUUAUUGUAUCGAACGAUUAUGAACAAACUCUAAAAACUAUACGGUAAUCUAAUAAAACAAUUUUUUUUUUUCCUCGAUCAACACGGUUGUUAUUAUCUCGCAUAGUUCGGACACGAGCGUAUAAUAUAC